AGCGUCCACUCGGGUCAGGACAGAUGUGGACACUCACCAUGGAGCGUGGGCUGAGCUGGCUGCUCCUCCUGGCUCUUCUAGGGGGUGUCCAGUGUGAGAAGCUGGUGGAGUCGGGGGAGACUUGGUGCAGACUAGGGGGUUCUCUCAGACUCUCCUGUACAACCUCCGGAUUCACCAUCAGUAGUUACGGCAUGAGCUGGGUCCACCAGGCCCCAGGGAAGGGGCUACUGUGGGUUGCACACAUCAGUUAUAGUGGUGGUAGCUUAUACUACGCGGACGCCGUGAAGGGCCGAUUCACCAUCUCCAGAGACAACGGCAAGAACUCGCUGUAUCUGCAGAUGAACAGCCUGAAGCCCGAGGACACAGCCUUGUAUUACUGUGCAAGACACACAGUGAGGGGAGCAGGUGUGAGCCCAGACACAAACCCUGCAGGGACAGGAGGGUGCUGGGCAUGUUUUCUGGGGUGUUAUUCUUCACAACAAAUCUCCCUGUGCUGUGCGUGUGA
Molecule: RNA transcript, 505 nt
Organism: Condylura cristata (star-nosed mole)
Lineage: Eukaryota; Metazoa; Chordata; Mammalia; Eulipotyphla; Talpidae
Gene name: Ig heavy chain V-III region 23-like
Exons: 3
Source: RefSeq, a predicted model, not a curated record